RNAcentral lists this ribosomal RNA (465 nucleotides) under Vreelandella stevensii. RNAcentral describes it as "partial 16S ribosomal RNA". It matches the Rfam family "Bacterial small subunit ribosomal RNA", at positions 338 to 795 of the family's 1533-position model. The record is from RNAcentral. Lineage: Bacteria; Pseudomonadati; Pseudomonadota; Gammaproteobacteria; Oceanospirillales; Halomonadaceae.
CCUACGGGUGGCUGCAGUGGGGAAUAUUGGACAAUGGGGGGAACCCUGAUCCAGCCAUGCCGCGUGUGUGAAGAAGGCCCUCGGGUUGUAAAGCACUUUCAGUGAGGAAGAACGCCUGGUGGUGAAUACCCAUCAGGAAAGACAUCACUCACAGAAGAAGCACCGGCUAACUCCGUGCCAGCAGCCGCGGUAAUACGGAGGGUGCGAGCGUUAAUCGGAAUUACUGGGCGUAAAGCGCGCGUAGGUGGCUUGAUAAGCCGGUUGUGAAAGCCCCGGGCUCAACCUGGGAACGGCAUCCGGAACUGUCAAGCUAGAGUGCAGGAGAGGAAGGUAGAAUUCCCGGUGUAGCGGUGAAAUGCGUAGAGAUCGGGAGGAAUACCAGUGGCGAAGGCGGCCUUCUGGACUGACACUGACACUGAGGUGCGAAAGCGUGGGUAGCAAACAGGAUUAGAUACCCUGGUAGUC